CCUACGGGAGGCAGCAGUGAGGAAUAUUGGGCAAUGCCCGAAAGGGUGACCCAGCAACGCCGCGUGGAGGAUGAAGUCCUUCUGGACGUAAACUCCUUUUAGAGGGGACGAAAAGCCCGAUUUGUCGGGAAUUGACGGUACCCUCAGAAAAAGCACCGGCUAACUACGUGCCAGCAGCCGCGGUAAUACGUAGGGUGCAAGCGUUGUCCGGAUUCACUGGGUGUAAAGGGUGCGCAGGCGGGCUCUUAAGUCAAAGGUAAAAUCUCUCGGCUUAACCGAGAAAUUGCCUUUGAUACUGAGAGCCUGGAGUACGGGAGAGGGAGAUGGAAUUCCAGGGGUAGCGGUAAAAUGCGUAGAUAUCUGGAGGACCACCGGAGGCGAAGGCGGUCUCCUGGCCCGUUACUGACGCUCAGGCACGAAAGCGUGGGGAGCAAACAGGAUUAGAUACCCCUGUAGU
Molecule: ribosomal RNA, 457 nt
Filed under: uncultured Ignavibacteria bacterium
Lineage: Bacteria; Pseudomonadati; Ignavibacteriota; Ignavibacteria
Description: partial 16S ribosomal RNA
Rfam family: Bacterial small subunit ribosomal RNA
Source: RNAcentral